GGAUGCGAUCAUACCAGCACUAAUGCACCGGAUCCCAUCAGAACUCCGCAGUUAGGCGUGCUUGGGCGAGAGUAGUACUAGGAUGGGUGACCUCCCGGGAAGUCCUCGUGUUGCAUCCCUUU
This 122-nucleotide ribosomal RNA is filed under the name Arabidopsis halleri. Lineage: Eukaryota; Viridiplantae; Streptophyta; Magnoliopsida; Brassicales; Brassicaceae. The record is from RNAcentral.